This is a ribosomal RNA of 437 nucleotides. It matches the Rfam family "Bacterial small subunit ribosomal RNA", at positions 341 to 792 of the family's 1533-position model.
ACGGAAGGCAGCAGUGGGGAAUAUUGGGCAAUGGGCGAAAGCCUGACCCAGCAACGCCGCGUGAAGGAAGAAGGUCUUCGGAUUGUAAACUUCUUUUAUGAGGGACGAAGGACGUGACGGUACCUCAUGAAUAAGCCACGGCUAACUACGUGCCAGCAGCCGCGGUAAUACGGGGGAUACGAGCGUUAUCCGGAUUUAUUGGGUUUAAAGGGUGCGCAGGCGGAUCGGUAAGUCAGGGGUGAAAAGUUGGGGCUCAACUCCAAUCGUGCCUUUGAUACUGCCGGACUAGAGUGCGAUAGACGUGGCCGGAAUGUGAUGUGUAGCGGUGAAAUGCUUAGAUAUGUCACAGAACACCGAUCGAGAAGUCAGGUCACGAGCUCGCAACUGACGCUCAGGCACGAAAGCGUGGGGAUCAAACAGGAUUAGAUACCCUGGUA